This 62-nucleotide transfer RNA is filed under the name Placobdella parasitica. RNAcentral's name for it is "transfer RNA Aspartic Acid". Lineage: Eukaryota; Metazoa; Annelida; Clitellata; Rhynchobdellida; Glossiphoniidae. The record is from RNAcentral.
AAGGUUUUAGUUAAAUAAUAACAGUAGUCUGUCAGCCUUCAAUUACCUAUAAGUAAACCUUA